Long non-coding RNA from Aethina tumida (small hive beetle), 304 nucleotides. RefSeq lists it as uncharacterized. The record is from RefSeq and is a predicted model, not a curated record. Lineage: Eukaryota; Metazoa; Arthropoda; Insecta; Coleoptera; Nitidulidae. The transcript is spliced from 3 exons.
UUGACCUAUCAGAAUGUCAAGAAGCAAAGUGCUCAAAUUUCUGAAUGAUAAUGUGGUUUUAAUUACAGGAGUAACAUUAAUUAUCGGUAUCCAUUGGGGAUGGUAUAAAUUACAACAGUUUCCAUAUUUUGUCGGUCAAGAAUAUCGUAAAGAAAUGCCUCUGAUUGCUGCUGCCAAAAUGAUUAAAAAUAAAAUUGCAGGACAAGGGACACAGUAGUAAUAAAUUAUUUAUAUGUGAAUAAUGUAAAAUUGUUAAUUGGUGAUAUUUCAAAAUAUUUUUAUCAUUAUUAUAAUAGUAAGAAAA